GACAGAGGGUGCAAACGUUGUUCGGAAUUACUGGGCGUAAAGCGCGUGUAGGCGGCUUUGCAAGCCGGGCGUGAAAUCCCAUGGCUCAACCAUGGAAGUGCACUCGAAACUGCAGAGCUAGAGUCCUGGAGAGGAAGGUGGAAUGCUUGGUGUAGAGGUGAAAUUCGUAGAUAUCAAGCGGAACACCGGUGGCGAAGGCGGCGAUCUGGGUCGAUACUGACGCUGAGGUGCGAAAGCGUGGGGAGCAAACAGG
RNAcentral lists this ribosomal RNA (253 nucleotides) under uncultured bacterium. RNAcentral's name for it is "partial 16S ribosomal RNA". It matches the Rfam family "Bacterial small subunit ribosomal RNA", at positions 524 to 776 of the family's 1533-position model. The record is from RNAcentral.